Molecule: unclassified non-coding RNA, 597 nt
Filed under: Hevea brasiliensis (rubber tree)
Lineage: Eukaryota; Viridiplantae; Streptophyta; Magnoliopsida; Malpighiales; Euphorbiaceae
Source: RNAcentral
GUUGUCUGGACUUUUUAACUGUCUGUAUGUGUCUGGAAAGUCUUCCAUUAAUAUGCGAUUUCAUUUUAACUAAUAUAUUGCAGCUUCUGUUGGCAAAUAGAUGUGUCAAGAGUAGAUUUUAUGAAUUGUUAACUUCUAACUGCAGAAGUAGGUUGCAGAAUUUCAGAAACUAAUGCUCGGUCCUUUGCUGCUGGGAUAUUUUGGUGCUAAGCAUAUGGCCUGACUGGCAGCAUACUUGUACUGCUUGCAUGUCCUUAUAGAUAGGAACAACUGCAAUUACAGCGUUUGGUGCAUCUAUUUUUACUGCAUUAAUUUGUUAUAUGAUAACUGAAAUAUGGAUUUUCAACUUUUAUUUUUAUGAAAUGGUUUUAUAUGGUAGCAUUUGGUUGCCUUCUCUAUUUUGGACCAGAUAAUUAGCAGAGAUUAUUUAAACUGCACUAUGCUUACAACGAUGCAGCAGUGCAAUGUUAAGUGAGAUCCCAUAGCACUUGAAUAUAUUAUCUUUUGCACUAUUUAAAUCUGUAGACCUAUCUUGUUUACUUAAGUCUUUCUUGUAUAUCUCCUCUAGAAAAUGGAAUAUUGUUGUUCUUUUUCAGG